UUUUAGAAAAGGCUGAAAAAAAUUUCCUCAAUGGAUCCUAACAUCUUCAAAAAGGGUGGCAUGACACUUCACAAUACUAAAGAUACAAAUAGAGACAUUUAUCGGGAAUCUUAUCAUGAAACUGAAGAUAAUGCUCCAGAUGUGUUGGAUCCAUACCUUAACAGAAACCUGAGUAUUGAAGACCUGGAUCUAACAGCUAAUGAUGAAAUAGUUGCUCUUUCACCUGAUGCACGAUUUCAUAUUACUGGAAAAACAGGCAGGAUGUCAUAAGACUACCUCAGGAGCAAACGAUUAUUUUUACUCACAGUACGAAAGGAAAAAUUAUCUAAAAAUUCAACAACAUGUUUUGGACUCAAAAGUUCAUCUUGUGGUGAGUGAGAAAAGAAACUUUGAAGAAGACUAAUUGGACUUGAAUGAGGUAUUGAUAACAGAAUUGUAUACACCUGCUAAGUUUUUGUGUGUUUUGUUUGCACUGUUUCAAUGAUGAACUUAUUCUAAUCAUGCAUAUAUUUUUUGAUUCAUUCUAAUUUUCGAUCUUGCUGAGAAAGGAUAUAUUUUGUCAAAGUU
Non-coding RNA from Chiloscyllium plagiosum (whitespotted bambooshark), 567 nucleotides. NCBI's taxonomy places the organism in Eukaryota, Metazoa, Chordata, Chondrichthyes, Orectolobiformes, Hemiscylliidae. The record is from RefSeq and is a predicted model, not a curated record.